Molecule: long non-coding RNA, 3299 nt
Organism: Colossoma macropomum (tambaqui)
Lineage: Eukaryota; Metazoa; Chordata; Actinopteri; Characiformes; Serrasalmidae
Exons: 3
Source: RefSeq, a predicted model, not a curated record
GCAGGAGCAGAGUGUAUAAUCGAGUGUUAUUGUACAAGGACGUUAGGUAGACGCGAUCAAAGGAAAAGACAACAGUGUUUUGGCUGAAGCCGUUAUACUGGGCCUAUUUAAGGAUGAUUAAUUAUGACAGGUGACAGACUAAGUGCAUUAGGCGAACAAACAGAGAGGUAGAGAGAGAUGUAGGGGUUAAACAGCGAGCCAGGUUCAGCGACCUCAGAGCAGAUACGGAGCUACUGAUAGUUGAGUUUGCCUGGUUCGAGCUGGUGAAAAAGAGGCCUCCGGACGACACAGCACAGGAGAAGUGCAAGGACGGACUGCAAAUACAUUACUGAGGCCAGGCUGUUUGAUUAGCAGGAGAAGGCCAUGAGUGUUGGAGAGAAGGAAAGGAAGAAAACAAGGCAAAAAGAGGACAGAAACAACAAAGAAAGACAACAAAAAAGAAGAAAGAAAAGUAACAAGUACAUAAAAGAGGACAAGAAAGAAGAGAAACACAACAAAAGAAUAAAAGUCAAAUUCAAUAAAAAGAAAUAAAAAGAAAAAGAAAGAAGUCAGUAAGGAAGAAAGGAAGGGAGAGCGUGUCCGAAACAAGACAGACGUGGAGAGAGAAAAGAAGAAGUCAGCAAACAAGAGAAAGAAAGGAGGAAUGUAACAAAGAAGAAGUAAACACCCGCCACGCGCCUCACGCUCCGGAUGGCAGUGUCUCUCUCACAGUCUUGCUUCUACACCUCUCGGGUGGUUCCAGAGCAGACUUUAACCUCAAGAUAUCUCAGCUGACGGGAUAGACGGCCAACUGAUGACUUGGAUCAAGUAUCCUAGGUCAAAGUUCAUCAGUACACCUGUUGCCUUGAAGGUACCCUCAGGCCAAUGAGAGCCAGCCCAGGUUUCUGUGCUGCACUGGCUGUUCUUACCACUCUAGCACUGCAAGAGCUUCCUGUCUGCCUUAAGGAGCGGACUUCAGGGGCCUCUGUGAGAACAAAGUGUCAUGGGUCGAGUACAUGGUAUCUCCUGAGAUGUCACUCUGGGUGAACUCCUGGCCAUUAAUCUCUCAGCUCCAAGACUUCACUCUUGAUGUCUGCAUCCUCAAGCAAAUUACAGCCAUGUGUUCAGCUCACCAGCCUCCAUUUUGAACUCUUCUGACAGUUUAGCAUAAUUUCAGAGAAGAUUCCACUGUUGGCCUCAACUCUGGCUUCACAAUCAUUCAUCAGAAAUAUUGCAAUGCUUUUCAAAUCUACUUCACCAAAUAUAUUCAGUAUUCUUUACAGAAAAUAAACACUGAAUGACCACACAAGAUAUUGUUACAAAAAGAGGCAGCUGCAGAAUCUAUAUAUCCCCUUGUGUCAGUAUUGACUUCCAGCACAAGCGGAUGUUGAUUUCUUGACAUAACAGGAUUUGUUCAUAUGAAACUGUGCCAAGUGUCUUUAAAUUAUGCUAUUUUAAUUGACUGAAAAAAGACUUCACAAAGUUAAGCAAAUUACACGUUAUGAUAAAACAAUGCAUUUCAAGUAUAGAAUUAUGGCAAGUACAGCCAAUGAGUAUUAAGCCUCAGAGGUGGGUGAGUACGCACUGCUGAAAUAUCUUUAAUGAAUUCUCCCCGACAUUACUGCACAGUCUAUGAUUCAUUUGAGCACGUAUCUCUCCUAGAGAGGUGGCAAAAUGAAGGGUCCACUUAUUCUACAUUACCCCUGCAUUCAUCACAGACGCAUGUGACACUGCCUCUAAUCACCACAUUGAAUUUGAAAUCGCUUUAACUUCCGACUAGGAGAGGGUGAUUGUAAUAGCUUGGGCUUUUAUGAUUCAUAGGAAGGAGGCUUUAAAUACCUCCCUGACAGAGUGACAAGCCCGGUGAGUGCUGAAAUGGGACCAUAAUGAUGGUUAACAAGUUCUGAGCACCAAGAAAGCAUUCUGAGGCAAUUUGUUAGCAAGUCCGAGAAGGCUGUUUUCUUGGACAAACUGAUCUGAAACAGAUGGCAGAGAUGUUACUAUAAUCCAUAUGAGGCCUAUAGAUAGCUCACUUCAAGCAAAUCAAUCUACUGCAGCUUGUCAAAGCAACCGGAUAGAAUGGCUAAUAUCAUGAGCCAAAGAGUGAGUGUAUGCUGAAGGAAAUGGCUGGAUUCCCAUGCCUUUAACCCAACAGAACAAAUUAUUUCUUUGCCAGAUUUUCCAGUCCGCAGCAAGCAUGAGUCUGGUCUUAUUGUCUUCCGUUCUCCAGAGGUCCCCACUCCUGUUGAAGCAGCAACCAAGCUCUCAUUUUGUUGUGUGGGAGUUCUCUACACCUCUAGCCCCCUUAUAUCUACUGCAUCUUCUGCCAGAUGAAUAAUUAUGGCAGCUCUGUGAAAGUACCAUGAUCACCCUAACCUCUGCUGUGCUGACAAGCACCUGUGAUUGUUAGGAUGCUUGGCUGGUCAGGAACCUGUGUUAGAGAAUGAGAAAGGUAGCUGUGUUGUCUGGCUCCUAAAAAGAAUAUAAAAACAGGCAUGAGAGUUAGGCCUGAAGUUUUGAUGUACUGAAAACCUGCCCUGGGUCACCAGAUACGUCCAAAAGCAUUUUUUUCAUGCAGUUUUGGUGGUUGUGCUGUUGAUGAAGAGAGGCUUACUCAUCUUAAGAGAUGGAGUAGCUGACAGGGGUCUGUAGUAAAGAUAAGACCUAGAGAUUGGGGCCUCCCUUCUGGCUCUGGCAGCUGCUUGACCCUGACCCAAGGUCUUAAAAAUAAGAGCAGGAUGAGGCAGCACAUGCCUAUGACCUAAAACAGCAUCUAUAACAUAUACAUAAAUGUGGCAAGUGUACUCCAUGAGAAUUUGCCUAACACGGCAUAUCCAGCUAUCAUCAUAUAAUCCAUAAGGCUUACUACAGGAGGCCAUGAAAGGAGUGUGAAGGUUCAGGCUUUUAUUACAAGCGGCUACCUGUUUUCAAUACAGCUGCAUACAGCUGCCGCCAUGAGCCUCUUUGCAUUCUGUUCCUCGGGUGAAUGUCAUCAGCCCUAGCUUUCAAAGUCACAAUAGAGGGAUAAAGAACAAAGAACAGGUCAGAAUGUUUAACCAACGAAGAAAAACACAGCUGCGCAUAAUUCUUGUGACUGUGAAUGUCAAUGACAGGGACACUGUGAAACAGUAUGGAAGUGAGCUGUGAGCUCCAGAACGUCAAUUCUGAAACAUGCAAAUAAUACAGGCAGGUGCUAUGUUCUACCUGAGGUAGCUCCUGCUUUGGAUCUGUCAAUACCAUUCAUCACAUAUGAAUGGGAUCAAUGGACGGUUCUAUGUGACUAACAUGGUCCAAAUCAACACCAAAUAUCACCAUGUGUU